RNAcentral lists this transfer RNA (72 nucleotides) under Marmota monax (woodchuck). Its description in RNAcentral is "tRNA.Ala". The stretch from base 6 to 68 matches the Rfam family "tRNA", at positions 5 to 66 of the family's 71-position model. Rfam says of the family: Transfer RNA (tRNA) molecules are approximately 80 nucleotides in length. Their secondary structure includes four short double-helical elements and three loops (D, anti-codon, and T loops). Further hydrogen bonds mediate the characteristic L-shaped molecular structure. tRNAs have two regions of fundamental functional importance: the anti-codon, which is responsible for specific mRNA codon recognition, and the 3' end, to which the tRNAs corresponding amino acid is attached (by aminoacyl-tRNA synthetases). tRNAs cope with the degeneracy of the genetic code in two manners: having more than one tRNA (with a specific anti-codon) for a particular amino acid; and 'wobble' base-pairing, i.e. permitting non-standard base-pairing at the 3rd anti-codon position. Lineage: Eukaryota; Metazoa; Chordata; Mammalia; Rodentia; Sciuridae. The record is from RNAcentral.
GCUGUAUGUAGCUCAGUGGCAGAGCGCUUGCCUAGCAUGCAUGAGGCACUGGGUUCAAUCCUUAGCAUUGCA